GACGAACGCUGGCGGCGUGCUUAACACAUGCAAGUCGAACGGAAAGGCCCUGCUUUUGUGGGGUUCUCGAGUGGCGAACGGGUGUGUAACACGUGAGUAACCCGCCCUUGACUUUGGGAUAACUUCAGGAAACUGGGGCUAACACCGGAUAGGAGCUCCUGCUGCAUGGUGUGGGAUGGAUAGUUUCGGCGGUUGGGGAUGGACUCGCGGCUUAUCAGCUUGUUGGUGGGGUAGUGGCUUACCAAGGCUUUGAGGGGUAGCCGGCCUGAGAGGGUGACCGGCAAAAUUGGGACUGAGAUAGGGCCAAGACUCGAACGGGGGGCAGAAGGGGGAAGAAUGGACAAGGGGGGGGAGGCCUGAGGAGGCAAGGCGGGGUGCGGAAUAAGGGCCUUGGGGUGGAAAACCGCUUUGGCAGGUACGAAGGCGUGAGUGACGGUAAUGGGUAAAGAAGCACCGGCUAACUACGUG
Molecule: ribosomal RNA, 468 nt
Filed under: uncultured bacterium
Lineage: Bacteria
Description: partial 16S ribosomal RNA
Rfam family: Bacterial small subunit ribosomal RNA
Source: RNAcentral